RNAcentral lists this ribosomal RNA (292 nucleotides) under uncultured bacterium. RNAcentral describes it as "partial 16S ribosomal RNA". It matches the Rfam family "Bacterial small subunit ribosomal RNA", at positions 505 to 796 of the family's 1533-position model. The record is from RNAcentral.
GUGUCAGCCGCCGCGGUAAGACAGAGGUGGCGAGCGUUGUUCGGAAUCAUUGGGCUUAAAGAGCACGUAGGCGGCCCGUCAAGUGUCUUGUGAAAUCCCUCGGCUCAACCGAGGAAUUGCUGGGCAUACUGUCGGGCUUGAGGUAGGUAUGGGCGAGUGGAACUCUUGGUGGAGCGGUGGAAUGCGUAGAUAUCAAGAGGAACGCCGGUGGUGAAGACGAUUCGCUGGGCCUAUCCUGACGCUGAGGUGCGAAAGCCAGGGGAGCAAACGGGAUUAGAAACCCCUGUAGUCC